AUACUCAUUCAUGACUUAGUCAUAUACGGGGUGUUCUAGAUAUGGUAGAAUGUGUAUGAAGAUUGUGAGUAGGUCAACAUGGAAUCGAUCACUCUUGGUAAAAAAAAAUUGCAUCCUACUUGUUCUGAUUGAUUGAUGAUUCAGGAAGUCUUUGAUCAAAGCAGAAUGAAAAUUAGAAAGAGUUUCUAAUAUUUUAUUAAUUGAAUCAUCAUAUAAGAUUGAGAGAAAUAUGAGUAUGAUAUUGGAUUUGACAUCAUUCCAUAUCCAGAGUCAUAUUUGGGGUGCAGGG
This 289-nucleotide long non-coding RNA is filed under the name Elaeis guineensis (African oil palm). RNAcentral's name for it is "long non-coding RNA (EGUI_LNC082040)". Lineage: Eukaryota; Viridiplantae; Streptophyta; Magnoliopsida; Arecales; Arecaceae. The record is from RNAcentral.